UCUAGGCUAACCGCGUUCGUCGUUCCUCGUAAGUAGGAGCAUAACCCCAUCGCUGUAACGUACCACGGUACCAUCGUCAUCUCGAGUAUCGUUACUGCCGUGCCACCAAUACGCUGCAGCGUGACAAGCACUUCCAACCACACGCUCCUUCCUUCGUUAUCGAGUAACGAAGGUUCGUCGAACAAACUAAAUGAGCUCGUUGCAACAUCCAUAACAAGCAGAGCAGGAUACGAGAGAGCUUCUGAGAGAUUCAGUAAUCAGUCGCAACAUUGUUGCCCGGUUUCGGGCAGAAAACCAGCGAGAAAGUGCAGAAGAAGGAAUCGAGGCCACUUGUCGGUACACAGCAUAUAUGAACGUGGAUGGUUUUGGAGGUGGUCUGGGUACGAGCAUGUGGCCGAUUCUCUUUCGCAGCUGACGCUCGACGAGCCAUUUAAUGGCUCGUUAUGGACGAAGAGAAAAAAUGGAACAGUUCGUGAAAAAACGACCACAGCACAUGAGAUCGUAUUUUUCCUCUGUUUUUCUUUUUUACUUUUUCUUGUUGCCAAUUAGUUGGUAACACCUAGUCGAUAUAAAGCUUCGAUUUUGCAUAAAAAAGGAAUAAAAUUCCGGGAAUUCCAAGGAUGCCUGGUACGCGCAACCAUUUCAGCUGAUUACCGAGCAAUCAUAUUCUUGCACAAGCGGCCAGGAUCGUGUGUUGCAAAGAUCACCUCGUGCACGUGCUCAAUUCGUGCGAAUUGAAUGUCAGUAGCUAAACCGCUUUGCCACUUUGUACCAUGCCAGAUGAAAGAAUAGUCGAGCUUCUCGUAAUUAAAGUUGAAAGGUUGUAGGGUUGAAAGGAGCGAGCCUGUGUCGCUCUUCGGAUCGAUUAUAAAAAUAACAAGGACGGAGAGAGAAGCUCAAGGAAAAGGGAAAUGAGGGAAAAGGCGACGAAUGACGAGCCAUUUGAAAAGCAAAGCACGAUAAGCCGUCGAGUUCCCUCGCUCGAAGGGGUGGAACCCUUCG
Molecule: unclassified non-coding RNA, 1002 nt
Filed under: Bombus terrestris (buff-tailed bumblebee)
Lineage: Eukaryota; Metazoa; Arthropoda; Insecta; Hymenoptera; Apidae
Description: misc RNA ENSBTSG00005031831.1
Source: RNAcentral